UGAAUUUUAAAGGGCCGCGGUAUUUCUGACCGUGCGAAGGUAGCAUAAUCAUUAGUCUUUUAAUUUGAGGCUCGUAUGAAUGGUCGGACGAGGGAUAAACUGUUUCCAGAUAAAAAACUCGAAUUUAACUUUUAAGUGAAAAGGCUUAAAUAUUUCAAAAAGACGAUAAGACCCUAUAAAUCUUAACAUUAAGUUUCAUGUAAUUCUAAUUCAUUAGUAUAAAGAAAUUCAUGAUGAAAGUGUUACGUUGGGGCAACGAAGAUAUAAAAAAAUUAACUGUUUCAUUACUUAAACAAAAAUUAUUGAACUACUAGAUCCUUUUUAAAGAUUUUAAGAUUAAGUUACUUUAGGGAUAACAGCGUCAUUCUUUUUGAGAGUUCCCAUCGAAAAAAGAGUUUGCGACCUCGAUGUUGAAUUAGAAAAUCU
This 426-nucleotide ribosomal RNA is filed under the name Calcinus tibicen. RNAcentral's name for it is "partial 16S ribosomal RNA". It matches the Rfam family "Archaeal large subunit ribosomal RNA", at positions 1994 to 2616 of the family's 2987-position model. The record is from RNAcentral. Lineage: Eukaryota; Metazoa; Arthropoda; Malacostraca; Decapoda; Diogenidae.